Long non-coding RNA from Stegastes partitus (bicolor damselfish), 135 nucleotides. RefSeq lists it as uncharacterized. The record is from RefSeq and is a predicted model, not a curated record. The transcript has 3 exons. Lineage: Eukaryota; Metazoa; Chordata; Actinopteri; Pomacentridae.
UCAGGGCCGAUCCAAGGAACUCACUAAACCCGCCAAUCGGUUGUAGCCGUGGGCGGUGUGUACAAAGGGCAGGGGCUUAAUCAGCACAAGCUUGUGACCCGUGCUUACAGGGAGUUCCUAGUUCAGAUCUGAAGA